CCUACGGGAGGCAGCAGUGGGGAAUUUUCCGCAAUGGGCGAAAGCCUGACGGAGCAACGCCGCGUGAGGGAUGAAGGCCUUUGGGCUGUAAACCUCUUUUAUCAAGGAAGAAGAUCUGACGGUACUUGAUGAAUAAGCCACGGCUAAUUCCGUGCCAGCAGCCGCGGUAAUACGGGAGUGGCAAGCGUUAUCCGGAAUUAUUGGGCGUAAAGCGUCCGCAGGCGGUCUUGUAAGUCUGUCGUUAAAGCGUGGAGCUCAACUCCAUUUCGGCGGUGGAAACUACAAGACUAGAGUGUGGUAGGGGCAGAGGGAAUUCCCGGUGUAGCGGUGAAAUGCGUAGAUAUCGGGAAGAACACCAGUGGCGAAGGCGCUCUGCUGGGCCAUAACUGACGCUCAUGGACGAAAGCUAGGGGAGCGAAAGGGAUUAGAUACCCCUGUAGUCCUAGCCGUAAACGAUGAACACUAGGUNUCGGGGGAAUCGACCCCCUCGGUGUCGUAGCUAACGCGUUAAGUGUUCCGCCUGGGGAGUACGCACGCAAGUGUGAACUUAAGGAAUUGACGG
This 562-nucleotide ribosomal RNA is filed under the name uncultured bacterium. RNAcentral describes it as "bacterial SSU rRNA". It matches the Rfam family "Bacterial small subunit ribosomal RNA", at positions 338 to 916 of the family's 1533-position model. The record is from RNAcentral.